CGGGGUGGAGUAAGCGUGGGUAACCUGCUUGUACAGGGGAGAACAGUUGGAAACGGCUGCUAAUACCGCAUAAGCGCACGGCAUCGCAUGAUGCAGUGUGAAAAACUCCGGUGGUAUAAGAUGGACCCGCGUUGGAUUAGCUAGUUGGUGAGGUAACGGCCCACCAAGGCGACGAUCCAUAGCCGACCUGAGAGGGUGACCGGCCACAUUGGGACUGAGACACGGCCCAA
Molecule: ribosomal RNA, 230 nt
Filed under: uncultured bacterium
Lineage: Bacteria
Description: partial 16S ribosomal RNA
Rfam family: Bacterial small subunit ribosomal RNA
Source: RNAcentral